UACGGAGGGGGCUAGCGUUGUUCGGAAUUACUGGGCGUAAAGGGCGCGUAGGCGGCGGGCUAAGUCAGGCGUGAAAGCCCCGGGCUCAACCUGGGAACUGCGCUUGAUGCUGACUUGCUUGAGACCGGGAGGGGAGGGUGGAAUUCCCAGUGUAGAGGUGAAAUUCGUAGAUGUUAGGAAGAACACCGGUGGCGAAGGCGGCUCACUGGUCCGGUACUGACGCUGAGGUGCGAAAGCUUGGGGAGCAAACAGG
This 253-nucleotide ribosomal RNA is filed under the name uncultured bacterium. Its description in RNAcentral is "partial 16S ribosomal RNA". It matches the Rfam family "Bacterial small subunit ribosomal RNA", at positions 524 to 776 of the family's 1533-position model. The record is from RNAcentral.